This 377-nucleotide unclassified non-coding RNA is filed under the name plant metagenome. RNAcentral describes it as "partial contains 5.8S ribosomal RNA, internal transcribed spacer 2, and large subunit ribosomal RNA". The stretch from base 1 to 104 matches the Rfam family "5.8S ribosomal RNA", at positions 51 to 154 of the family's 154-position model. The record is from RNAcentral.
AAAUGCGAUAAGUAAUGUGAAUUGCAGAAUUCAGUGAAUCAUCGAAUCUUUGAACGCACCUUGCGCUCCUUGGUAUUCCUUGGAGCAUGCCUGUUUGAGUAUCAUGAAAUCUUCAAAGUAAAUCUUUUGUUAACUCAAUUGGUUUCUACUUUGGUAUUGGAGGUCUUUGCAGCUUCACACCUGCUCCUCUUUGUUCAUUAGCUGGAUCUCAGUGUUAUGCUUGGUUCCACUCGGCGUGAUAAGUUAUCUAUCGCUGAGGACACUGUAAAAGGUGGCCAAGGUAAAUGCAGAUGAACCGCUUCUAAUAGUCCAUUGACUUGGAAAAUACUUUUAUGAUCUGAUCUCAAAUCAGGUAGGACUACCCGCUGAACUUAAGC